GAUGAACGCUGGCGGCGUGCCUAAUACAUGCAAGUCGAGCGAACCACUUCGGUGGUGAGCGGCGAACGGGUGAGUAACACGUAGGUGAUCUGCCCAUCAGACGGGGACAACGAUUGGAAACGAUCGCUAAUACCGGAUAGGACGAAAGUUUAAAGGUGCUUCUGGCACCGCUGAUGGAUGAGCCUGCGGCGCAUUAGCUAGUUGGUAGGGUAAAGGCCUACCAAGGCGACGAUGCGUAGCCGACCUGAGAGGGUGGACGGCCACACUGGGACUGAGACACGGCCCAGACCCCUACGGGAGGCAGCAGUAGGGAAUCUUCAGCAAUGGGCGAAAGCCUGACCGAGCAACGCCGCGUGAAUGAUGAAGGCCUUCGGGUUGUAAAAUUCUGUUAUAAGGGAAGAACGACUUUAGUAGGAAAUGGCUAGAGUGUGACGGUACCUUAUGAGAAAGCCACGGCUAACUACGUGCCAGCCGCCGCGGUAA
Molecule: ribosomal RNA, 483 nt
Filed under: uncultured bacterium
Lineage: Bacteria
Description: partial 16S ribosomal RNA
Rfam family: Bacterial small subunit ribosomal RNA
Source: RNAcentral